RNAcentral lists this long non-coding RNA (403 nucleotides) under Neodiprion lecontei (redheaded pine sawfly). RNAcentral describes it as "uncharacterized LOC124294474". Lineage: Eukaryota; Metazoa; Arthropoda; Insecta; Hymenoptera; Diprionidae. The record is from RNAcentral.
UCCGUAGUUUCUGCGCUCCAGGUCCACUACGUAGUGAAACUCGACUUCAGGGACAAGCGCUCCGUAGUUUCUGCACUCCAGGUCCACUAGCUAGUGAAACUCGACUUCAGGGACAAGCGCUUCGUAGUUUCUGCACUCCAGGUCCACUAUCUGGUGAAACUCUGGAAGGAAGGAGGAGGACGAGGAAGACGAGGAGAACAAGGUGGGCGAGGAGGAAGAGGAUUUGUGCACGUAUUCGGGGUAUAACCCGAGGUGGUCAGCGGUGGUCGUUGGAGGUGGUCAGAGGUGGUAAAGGGUGGUUGCGGGUGAUCGAGGUGGAUGAGGAGGAGGAAGACGAGGACGACGAGGAGAACGAGGAUUUCUGCACAGUAUAACUCGAGGUGGUUAUCGGUGGUUGUUGGAG